GUUGUCCUCUUAAUCAAGGAGUGUGGAGAUACUGUUAUGGCAUACAGAUAAAAUGUAGGAGUACAUUCAUAUCAAACAUGAUCAUGGGCUGAUCAUUCUGCUGUCAAUAGUAGCUCGUAAAGGAUAUAGGUAUAAGUAUCUUUCCAACCUGAAACCACCACGGUGACUUAUAAGCAACUCACUAUACUUUAGUAUCGGACUAUCUGAGUUUCUAACUCAGUGACCGAAGGUUACUGGGUGUUGUCAAGUACUUAUCA
RNAcentral lists this long non-coding RNA (257 nucleotides) under Elaeis guineensis (African oil palm). Its description in RNAcentral is "long non-coding RNA (EGUI_LNC060631)". The record is from RNAcentral. Lineage: Eukaryota; Viridiplantae; Streptophyta; Magnoliopsida; Arecales; Arecaceae.